UGUGUAAGUAUAAAUAAUUUUACUUUGAAACUGCGAAUGGCUCAUUAUAUCAGUUAUAGUUUAUUAGAAAUACUUUACUACUUGGAUAACCGUAGUAAUUCUAGGGCUAAUACAUGACUAAAUCCUCAACUUCGGAAGAGGUGUGUUUAUUAGUAUGAAAACCAUAUAUCUUCGGAUAUAAUAGUGAGUAAUAAUAACCUUUCRUAUCGUAUGUCGUAAGAUAACGAUAGUUCUUUCAAGUUUCUGCCCUAUCAGCUUUCGAUGGUAGUAUAUGGGACUACCAUGGCAGUAACGGGUAACGAAGAAUUUGGGUUCGAUUUCGGAGAGGGAGCCUGAGAGAUGGCUACCACAUCCAAGGAAGGCAGCAGGCGCGUAAAUUACCCAAUCCUGACAUAGGGAGGUAGUGACAAUAAAUCACAAUGCGGAACUAUUUAGUUUUGCAAUUGGAUUGAGAACAAUGUACAAAUGUUAUCGAUAAACAAUUGGAGGGCAAGUCUGGUGCCAGCAGCCGC
RNAcentral lists this ribosomal RNA (512 nucleotides) under Blastocystis sp. RNAcentral describes it as "SSU rRNA". Lineage: Eukaryota; Bigyra; Opalinata; Blastocystidae. The record is from RNAcentral.